This 357-nucleotide ribosomal RNA is filed under the name Prasinoderma singulare. RNAcentral describes it as "partial Bacterial large subunit ribosomal RNA". It matches the Rfam family "Bacterial large subunit ribosomal RNA", at positions 1639 to 1978 of the family's 2925-position model. The record is from RNAcentral. Lineage: Eukaryota; Viridiplantae; Prasinodermophyta; Prasinodermophyceae; Prasinodermales; Prasinodermaceae.
AGACCGUACCCCAAACCGACACAGGUGGUCAGGUAGAGAAUACCAAGGCGCUUGAGAGAACUCGGGUGAAGGAACUAGGCAAAAUGGCACCGUAACUUCGGGAGAAGGUGCGCCGCUGACGGUGAUCGGACUUGCUCCGUAAGCUGUUGGUGGUCGAAGAUACCAGGUGGCUGCGACUGUUUAUUAAAAACACAGCACUCUGCAAACUCGUAAGAGGACGUAUAGGGUGUGACGCCUGCCCGGUGCUUGAAGGUUAAUUGAUGGGGUUAGCACUUGUGCGAAGCUCUUGAUCGAAGCCCAAGUAAACGGCGGCCGUAACUAUAACGGUCCUAAGGUAGCGAAAUUCCUUGUCGGGUA